CUGCAACUCGCCUACACGAAGUCGGAAUCGCUAGUAAUCGCGGAUCAGCAUGCCGCGGUGAAUACGUUCCCGGGCCUUGUACACACCGCCCGUCACACCAUGGGAGCCGGUAAUACCCGAAGUCAGUAGUCCAACCUCGUGAGGACGCUGCCGAAGGUAGGAUUGGCGACUGGGGUGAAGUCGUAACAAGGUAAC
This 195-nucleotide ribosomal RNA is filed under the name uncultured bacterium. RNAcentral's name for it is "partial 16S ribosomal RNA". It matches the Rfam family "Bacterial small subunit ribosomal RNA", at positions 1305 to 1500 of the family's 1533-position model. The record is from RNAcentral.